GACGAACGCUGGCGGCGUGCCUAAUACAUGCAAGUCGAGCGGACGAAUCGAAAGCUUGCUUUUGAUUCGUUAGCGGCGGACGGGUGAGUAACACGUGGGCAACCUGCCCUGUAGACGGGGAUAACACCGAGAAAUCGGUGCUAAUACCGGAUAACACGAAAUGUCGCAUGACGUUUCGUUGAAAGACGGCGCAAGCUGUCGCUACAGGAUGGGCCCGCGGCGCAUUAGCUAGUUGGUGAGGUAACGGCUCACCAAGGCGACGAUGCGUAGCCGACCUGAGAGGGUGAUCGGCCACACUGGGACUGAGACACGGCCCAGACUCCUACGGGAGGCAGCAGUAGGGAAUCUUCCGCAAUGGACGAGAGUCUGACGGAGCAACGCCGCGUGAGCGAAGAAGGCCUUCGGGUCGUAAAGCUCUGUUGUUAGGGAAGAACAAGUAACGCAGUAACUGGCGUUACCGUGACGGUACCUAACGAGAAAGCCACGGCUAACUACGUG
Molecule: ribosomal RNA, 498 nt
Filed under: uncultured bacterium
Lineage: Bacteria
Description: partial 16S ribosomal RNA
Rfam family: Bacterial small subunit ribosomal RNA
Source: RNAcentral